This 94-nucleotide unclassified non-coding RNA is filed under the name Acidothermus cellulolyticus 11B. Its description in RNAcentral is "sgRNA (95-MER) from Acidothermus cellulolyticus 11B (PDB 6WC0, chain B)". The record is from RNAcentral. Lineage: Bacteria; Bacillati; Actinomycetota; Actinomycetes; Acidothermales; Acidothermaceae.
GGAUGGCAAGAUCCUGGUAUGCUGGGGAGCCUGAAAAGGCUACCUAGCAAGACCCCUUCGUGGGGUCGCAUUCUUCACCCCCAGCAGGGGGUUC